Molecule: long non-coding RNA, 1377 nt
Filed under: Numida meleagris (helmeted guineafowl)
Lineage: Eukaryota; Metazoa; Chordata; Aves; Galliformes; Numididae
Description: lncRNA (ENSNMEG00000002044.1)
Source: RNAcentral
AUGUGGCCAGAAAAUAAUCUUUUACCAUGUUCUCUAGUAGCAGCUUCCUCACCCUUCAUUUCAAAACUGAUAAAUCUGUGGGAUAACGAGGCUUCAAAAUCCUUCUUGAAGAGCUAUAUCACCAGCCAACAGAAAGUGAGAUGGAAGGCAGCAGCCAAUCUAAGUAAUGAUCUGGGUCCUUCCCUGUCUGCUUUGCGAAGAAGUCCUGUUGUUAAAGUAGUAUCGAAGAUUACAGGCAGUUAUGGGAUGCUGGCAGGAAGGGGGGACGAAGCAGUGAGUCAAGAGGCAAGAAAAUCAGGGGGCUGACUGAGGUAAGUCCGUCUGCCAGCUGCACAUUUCCCAGCUUCAGGGGGCCCCUAUGGGGCUUACGUGAACUGCUUGAGACAAAAUACUGAAAAGAACAACACCUGUAAAGAGCUACUGGGGCAACAUUUGCAUGGCAUGUAUCACCACAAAGGGGUGGGAGUGCUAUGCUGCAUGCAGAUGUUCCUGCCCAGGCCAUGGCUCAAAGCCAUGCUCCCCCUGGACUUGCUGGAUUUAUAAGCCUAUGAUGCUGUUGACACGUGGUAAGUCUCUGCUUUCUUUUUUUCUCCUUCUCUCAGGGGACUCUGAACUUGUGGGGGUGGCCUCUUCUCCCACGUAACUAACAACAGGAUGAGAGGAAAUGGCCUCAAGUUGUGCCAGGGGAGGUUCAGGUUAGAUAUUAGGAAAAAGUACUUCUCCAAAAGAGAGAUCAGGCACUGGAACGGGCUGCCCAGGGAGGUGGUUGAGUCACCGUCCCUGGAGGUGUUCAAGAAACAUUUAGAUGUGGUACUAAGGGACAUGGUUUGUGAGGAAAUAUUGGUGAUAGAUGGAUGGUUGGACUGGAUGAUCUUGGAGGUCUUUACCAACUUUGGUGAUUCUAUGGAUGGCCACUGAUCUUUGGGAUCUAUGGGCAUUGUAGGCUGGUUGGUAUUGCAUACUGGAUCAGUGACAACUUCCAUCUAGAGUCACCAACAGUCUAUAUCUUCAGCCUACUGAGACUGGACUUCAUCAGUCACAAACCAAAAUAUCUGAACUUAAACUGGAGAUUUUCAGGUUUUGAAAAAUUUUCAGGUUUCUUCUCUGCUAAGAAGUUGUGGAGUACAUAGGGUAAAAUGUGUGAUUCAAGCCACCUUUCUGUAGACUUUUUCUGGUUUGGAAUUUCAAAACUGAGCAGUCAGUUUUAGAAAUCUUUUUACUGCAGCAUGUUUUGUGGUGCUGUAGUUCUGAAGAUGUUAAAUUCAGAGAUAUGCAUAGAGAAUGCAUGCUUCUUCAGGAGUUAGGUGCAUGUUUAAUAUCAAGUCCUUUCCACAACUGGUACUCGUCUGUCAAAAUAAAACUGGUAACUCCAGUUCA